UUGUAUUUUGUCUAACUAAAUGUGCAAAGCAUGUGAAGUACUAGAUGUCUAUUCCUUGUAAAUCUAAAAUCAAACUUAUUCUUGAGUAACUAUUGGGAGAUAUGAAGAAAAUACCCAUAUUAAUUGCAUUUGUUCUUAAAAUGCAAUGUUAAUUAACCCCUUCGCUUCAUAUGUUGGCUUGGUUGUUACUAAUUUUAAGUUGCUACUAGUAUUUAUUUUAAUUUUUGUUGCAGUUGAAUUCUAUCUUGUAUCAACAUUACUAGUAUUUGUUAUUUCUCUUGCUUUGAAGUUUUUUCUGAUUCUUGUUGAAUAUCUCUUCUACCAAUGUUGUGGCUUUACUGAAAGCUAACUAAUUUUUUACUUAAAGAGUCAUAUGCUUUCUUUUCUUUUCUUAGUAGUAGUCAGUUCAGUUGCCAUCAUUAUAGUUGAUUUAUUUUCUUUCACAGGCUAUGCAGACACCAUUUCGGAGCUAUCUGCAAGAGAUGCUAGCUUUUCAUUAAAGGACAAGUCGUUGAAGGUGCAAUGUACAUUGUGCGUAAGCAGUAAAGGACAAGUCACAACUUUUUCUGAAAUUGAAUCCAGUUGAGGGGUUCGUUCCUAUUAAGUAGUUUCAAAUGUAAUUUAAGCAUUUUAUACAAUCUCUUCCCUUUUAUGUCCGGUUUCCUUCUAAACUCUUCAUUUGUGUCAUUAAUGGUAGUAGGUCAAGAGAGAGCAAGCUGAACGUGAAGCACUUGGAGCUUUGCCCCUUUAUCAGCUCACCAUUCCCUGAGAGGACAUUUCUUGCUGCCAGGCGCCAUUGAACUGAAUUACGUAUAAUUGAACAAGUAAAUGUGAUCCCGAACUUCUUCCUCUUUAAGAACUGUAAUGUGUGUAUAUUAAUGAUCAGAAAAUCAUUUUUUUUCUUUUUUUUCUAGCUACUGGUUAUCAACAAAUAAUGCUGUGUAACUUUCUAUUAACUGCAUCACGUAAAUACUGAUGGUUGUGCCUCUUAAUACAGAGUAGUUGUAUGAGAUUA
Long non-coding RNA from Salvia splendens (bonfire salvia), 1015 nucleotides. RefSeq lists it as uncharacterized. The record is from RefSeq and is a predicted model, not a curated record. The transcript has 2 exons. NCBI's taxonomy places the organism in Eukaryota, Viridiplantae, Streptophyta, Magnoliopsida, Lamiales, Lamiaceae.